Molecule: ribosomal RNA, 497 nt
Filed under: uncultured bacterium
Lineage: Bacteria
Description: partial 16S ribosomal RNA
Rfam family: Bacterial small subunit ribosomal RNA
Source: RNAcentral
GAUGAACGCUGGCGGCGUGCCUAAUACAUGCAAGUCGAGCGAACGGACGAGAAGCUUACUUAUCUGAUGUUAGCGGCGGACGGGUGAGUAACACGUGGAUAACCUACCUAUAAGACUGGGAUAACUUCGGGAAACCGGAGCUAAUACCGGAUAAUAUUUUGAACCGCAUGGUUCAAAAGUGAAAGACGGUCUUGCUGUCACUUAUAGAUGGAUCCGCGCUGCAUUAGCUAGUUGGUAAGGUAACGGCUUACCAAGGCAACGAUGCAUAGCCGACCUGAGAGGGUGAUCGGCCACACUGGAACUGAGACACGGUCCAGACUCCUACGGGAGGCAGCAGUAGGGAAUCUUCCGCAAUGGGCGAAAGCCUGACGGAGCAACGCCGCGUGAGUGAUGAAGGUCUUCGGAUCGUAAAACUCUGUUAUUAGGGAAGAACAUAUGUGUAAGUAACUGUGCACAUCUUGACGGUACCUAAUCAGAAAGCCACGGCUAACUACGUG